GAAGCGUAUGAACACUCAGACCUGCUAACUCUGACAUCUGAGGAUAAUAUCCCCAGGCCUCUUA
RNAcentral lists this transfer RNA (64 nucleotides) under Acanthodactylus boskianus (Bosk's fringe-fingered lizard). RNAcentral describes it as "tRNA-Ser". Lineage: Eukaryota; Metazoa; Chordata; Lepidosauria; Squamata; Lacertidae. The record is from RNAcentral.